Molecule: non-coding RNA, 2333 nt
Organism: Monodelphis domestica (gray short-tailed opossum)
Lineage: Eukaryota; Metazoa; Chordata; Mammalia; Didelphimorphia; Didelphidae
Source: RefSeq, a predicted model, not a curated record
CUAAGCUACAGAACGAUUCGGUUUUCCCUCAAUAGUUGAGAAUGUUUUAAGGAUACUGAAAUCUGAAUAUGCCUUCAAGAGCCUGAAAUGGAAAGUUCUUCUAAGAGACUGGACUAAGGAUGCUUUAAAAUGGAGGCCAACAAAGUCCACCCCAAUUCAAUAGUUCACAUAUGAUGCACCAGGCUAACAGGAAGACAGGGCCAGAGAACAUCUGCUUACAGUUGCUAUUUUUUGAAGAGGGAGAAGUGGAUGACUUGGUUAUAGUAAUGGAAGCAAUCACUCUGUGCACAGUUGUGGGAAAGCAAGGAAUGAAAAGAUGAAGUGUUCCUCCUAUGGUUUAAAGAGAGCUUCUGCCAGAGUUGGGAUAAGUCCUGUGAUUUCACUGGUACAGUGGACUCCCAGGGGAGGAAACACCCUCUACUUUCUCAGCAAUUUUUUUUGUCAUAGAGAGUUGCCAAGAGCUUUGAGAGAUUCUGUCUGAUUCCAGGACAAGAGAAUACAAAAAGAGUCAUUGCACAGUGCUAAAGAAGCACAGGGCUAAACUGCAUAGUGCCUAUUGAGCACAGGGUCAAGGAGACCAACCAAUCUCAAUGGGAUUCAUGAAAAUUUUGAGUCAAGACAAGAAGACUUGAACUUGUUUGGGGUUCGAGGUUGUGGUUGUUUAACAUGUGUUAAAGGCAGGUCUUCCUUGUCCCACAUUCUACCAAGUAUCUCAAAUUUGGCUCCUACCUGGCUCCUAUAAUCUAGUCCCUUUUCUGUUUUUCAUGGUGUGGCAAACUUUCUAUAGUCCUGGUUACUGAUUGGGUAAAUGCAUAAUUGCUUAAAUUAUUUUAAUUGAGCCCUAAUUCAAGGACCUGUUAUGGACUUAUUUUUCCUUUACUUAGAAUUUUUAUACAUAAGACUUUGAUAGUCUAUAUUUCAUCCAGAACUUAUUUUUUUUUUGGAUUUUUUUUUUGGAUUUUUUAUUUCUCUUGCCAGUUGAUUCAUAUACCUCAUAACUCAGCCAUGCAUCCCUAAGUGAUCCCUGUUUUUCAACACCCUCUUCAGGGGGGAAUGUAUUAUUAUUUAAAAUUGCAAAUUCUAAAUUCUUUUUGAGAGUAAUUUUAGGUUAAGAAACAUGCUACCUCUCCAAAUCCAGAAAAUAAACUCUUCUUAGAAGGCACCAUGAAGAUGCCUCCACAGACCACACGCUACAUCAAGAAGAUUCAGAAUGAACUUUGGGUGUAGUUGAUUGAACUGAAGGUUGAUUGAAUAUUUAAUUUGAAUGUAUACUCUGUUGCAAAAAGGGGGCUGCCCCCGACCUGACUUUUUGUCAAUGUGCCUAGUAAUUAUUGGUUUUGUUCUCUUUUCCUCUUAUCCUCAAAUUAUUGCAAUUUCAAAGUUGGUAUGUUUACAAGACCUACUGGAGAGACUAGUAUUAUUGAAAAAUCUGUUACCCUAAAGAAGAACUACAUAUCCCAGGAGCCCACUGACUUCCUGUCAUUGCGUACUUCCUGUAGACAGAGGAUAAAGGGCGUGGGCUUUGGAGGCUCCCUCUCUCUGAUGUAGAAUCAGCAGUGACAGUGGUGAGUGGGGAUGGCUAAAAAAUGGCUAACCAGCCAUGGGCACGUGGUCUUUAUUUUGUAUCUUCUUUAUUCCUUGAUUUUUAAAGAUCCUUAAUAAAUCUCUUAAAAUAUAAUAUUAUUAUUGAGAUUUAAUUUUAACUUUUACACAAGAACAAGACACGAGAUUUGGACAAGGACAAUGUGGAAAUGUAUUUUGUUUGAAAUGUAUUUCAAGCAGUCUUUUCCUUUUGUGUGUGUGUGUGAGGGGGAGUAGGGUGAGAGUCGGGGAGACAGAGAAAGAAAGAGACAGACAGAAUUUAUACCAUAUAGACCCCAGGGUCCUCAUUAUGCAGGUACUUUGUCUCCAAGAUCUUGAGUGUGGUGCUCACUUUAUCUGUCUUUUCCCAUUAGCUCUUCCACAAUCAAACUAAGCCUGUUACUUACCUUUAGAGCCAAGGCCUCCCAUCUCUCAAUCCCUCUCUCUGUACAAAGCUGAUCUGGUUGUUCUUGAUUCCCUGCUCAACCUGCUUCCUAAUCAUCUCCCUGAAUAAUGUGUUCAGACUCUGAAAGUCUCUGAAUCACCGUGACCCUCUUGCUUUCUUUCCUCCUGAUUCAAACCAUAGAAUGUCAUUGGAGAAAGAUACACAUUAGUACAAACUAAUUCAUGUUUUUAAGUUUUACUGUAUGCUUUCCAUUGUUGAUUAAUUAAAAAUAAACAGUAUUAUUUGUUAUUUCCCUACUGAGCAACUUUGGUGUAUGUACACCCAGGUUACCAACCCUGAUUUUUCC